RNAcentral lists this ribosomal RNA (484 nucleotides) under uncultured bacterium. RNAcentral describes it as "partial 16S ribosomal RNA". It matches the Rfam family "Bacterial small subunit ribosomal RNA", at positions 29 to 507 of the family's 1533-position model. The record is from RNAcentral.
AUUGAACGCUGGCGGCAUGCCUUACACAUGCGAGUCGAACGGCAGCACGGGAGCAAUCCUGGUGGCGAGUGGCGAACGGGUGAGUAAUACAUCGGAACGUGCCCAGUAGUGGGGGAUAACCCGGCGAAAGCCGGACUAAUACCGCAUACGACCUACGGGUGAAAGCGGGGGAUCGCAAGACCUCGCGCUAUCGGAGCGGCCGAUGUCAGAGUAGCUAGUUGGUGGGGUAAAGGCCUACCAAGGCGACGAUCUGUAGCUGGUCUGAGAGGACGACCAGCCACACUGGUACUGAGACACGGCCCAGACUCCUACGGGAGGCAGCAGUGGGGAAUGUUGGACAAUGGGCGCAAGCCUGAUCCAGCCAUGCCGCGUGCGGGAAGAAGGCCUUCGGGUUGUAAAACGCUUUUGUCAGGGAAGAAACGCUCCGGGCUAAUACCACGGAGUAAUGACGGUACCUGAAGAAUAAGCACCGGCUAACUACGUG